This 252-nucleotide ribosomal RNA is filed under the name uncultured Bacteroidales bacterium. RNAcentral describes it as "partial 16S ribosomal RNA". It matches the Rfam family "Bacterial small subunit ribosomal RNA", at positions 524 to 776 of the family's 1533-position model. The record is from RNAcentral. Lineage: Bacteria; Pseudomonadati; Bacteroidota; Bacteroidia; Bacteroidales.
UACGGAGGAUGCGAGCGUUAUCCGGAUUUAUUGGGUUUAAAGGGUGCGCAGGCGGAGGCACAAGUCAGCGGUAAAAUCGCGGGGCUCAACCCCGCUCCGCCGUUGAAACUGUGUCCCUUGAGUGCGCGAAGGGUAGGCGGAAUGCGUGGUGUAGCGGUGAAAUGCAUAGAGAUCAUACAGAACACCGAUUGCGAAGGCAGCUUACCAAGCUACUUCUGACGUUGAGGCACGAAAGCGUGGGGAGCAAACAGG